This 272-nucleotide long non-coding RNA is filed under the name Panax ginseng (ginseng). RNAcentral's name for it is "long non-coding RNA (PGIN_LNC008775)". Lineage: Eukaryota; Viridiplantae; Streptophyta; Magnoliopsida; Apiales; Araliaceae. The record is from RNAcentral.
UUUUUAGAGGUUAAAUUAAAUCAGCGACCGAUCAGCAACCGCGGACAGUUGUUGAUAUUAACUAGCGACUAGAUUGAAGUGUGGUUUCUAAUAGCGGUCGCUAAAAAUAGAAUUAACGACCGGAAAUGGCGGUCGCUGAAAGUCUUGAUCGCUGUUUGGCCAUUUUCUUGUAGUGAAACUCGUCGAAAUACAAACGAGUUCACCCAAGAAGAUGAGAUAUAUGAUGUCAUCUCGGUCAUCAACUUGUUUUUGGCCAUUUUGAAAGACUAAAC